This is an RNA transcript of Strongylocentrotus purpuratus (purple sea urchin), 2527 nucleotides long. It is a transcript of the gene named erythrocyte band 7 integral membrane protein pseudogene, with no coding region annotated. NCBI's taxonomy places the organism in Eukaryota, Metazoa, Echinodermata, Echinoidea, Camarodonta, Strongylocentrotidae. The transcript has a single exon. The record is from RefSeq and is a predicted model, not a curated record.
GACCUUCGAAAUUACGUGAGUUCCAUAUCGACAAUAGAAACUCUUUUGUUUGUCCGCCUUUAGUUUGUUCGACUCUUACAAUCCAGUGAGUAAAUGCAAUGACUCAAAUUUUCCUUCCAUGUCAGAUUUACAACAGAGAGCGUGCGGUAAGCGUUCACGUCACUGCUAUAACGAGCACAAACGUAUACACAUACAGGACAAAGUACUGUGUAUAUAAUCAUCGUCACUACCUGCAUAUCACAAACUUGGAAAGAUUUUGAUGGUAUAUCACUGUGUAGCAUAGUCUGCACUGAGAGGACAUUGCAUACAGAUCUGCCCAUUUCCGUGUCGGGAUCCGUGUGUAAUAUUUACUGAGCGAAAAGUAAUCGCAUUAUCACAGGAGAAAGAGCUCCAAAAUGGCGUCAAGGGAUAAAGAUGAUUUCAAUGCAGGAGAGAAUCCUCCUCAUGUUAUUGGAGCGUCGGAAUCCCAGGAAGGGAGCGGUUGUUGUGGAAUCCUACUGACGAUCUUGUCGGUGAUAAUCGUGAUCUGUACGCUGCCAUUUUCACUUUUUGUCUGCAUAAAAGUGGUGCAGGAGUACGAAAGAGCAGUUAUAUUCAGACUUGGGCGCCUCUUGUCUGGCGGUGCUAAAGGUCCAGGACUGUUCUUCAUCCUGCCUUGCAUUGAAGAUUACACCAAGGUAGAUCUCCGUACCAUUUCGUUUGAUAUUCCACCUCAAGAGAUUCUGACAAGGGAUAGUCUGACCAUCUCUGUGGAUGCUGUGGUCUUCUACCGUGUCAAGAAUGCUACCAUCAGCAUCGCCAAUGUGGAAGAUGCAGGCAGAUCGACCAAACUCCUGGCCCAGACAACACUUCGGAAUGUCCUGGGCACCAAGAACCUGGCCGAGAUCCUGGCUGAACGUGAAGGUAUCAGUCACUACAUGCAGUCCACCCUGGACCAAGACACCGACCCCUGGGGUAUCCAAGUAGAGCGAGUUGAGAUCAAGGAUGUUCGUUUGCCUGUCCAGCUCCAGAGAGCCAUGGCUGCUGAGGCUGAAGCUUCCAGAGAGGCCAGGGCUAAGGUGAUUGCUGCUGAAGGAGAACAGAAUGCUGCUCGUGCCCUGAAGGAAGCUGCAGAUACUAUGGCAGAAUCCCCAUGUGCCCUUCAGCUGAGGUACCUGCAGACUCUCAACACCAUCUCAGCAGAGAAGAACUCCACCAUCAUCUUUCCUCUUCCUAUUGACCUCUUGCAAGGCAUCUUGACUAAGUAAUUAAGUCAUUUUGGUUUUGAUGAUCAGUUCAAUUAUAUUUCUCAUACGAAUAUAUACUACGUAUUAUUUUAUAAAUACAUGUAUCUUAACAUCCUAUGACUAAUAUGAACAACUUUUACUAUAAGGUUGUAUUAUAAUAUGUCAUGCCUGUUUUGUAGAACUCUUUAAUGUAACUGAAACAAAGUAAAUCGAUUUAAUAAGUUUAUGCUACAUUAUAUAAAUUCCUUUCUAAUAACAUCUUCGUUCCGUGAACAAUAUUGUAAAUUAGAAAAAUGACAAUCUGAUACAAAAGGAUCUAUGGGUAAGAGUUGGAACGAUGAAGAUAAAAGAAAGAGAGAAGUUUAUACAUUUGAGCAAGGUUUACAGAGUAUCGUUUUCUUUUUAUUUCGUAACAUUCCCAGGCUAGGAUUAAACUUUAAUUUGGUGGAGGGGAAGACGUUAUGCAAAGUAAACAAAACGGUCGUUUGAGAUAUUGCUGCCGUUUCGAAUGAGGAUGACAGUCCCUGUUUUCCAAAUAAAAGUUAUUCGAAAGAAAAGCAGAAGUGUUGGAGGCUUCGUCAAUAGAUAAAACUUUCUUUUUGAAUAUGUGGUGUUCUAAUUAUAUACGUAACAUGUCUGUUAGAAUAUUGUGUAAAUUAAGUGCUAUGCCCUCAGUUGAGGAAGUUUGUUGCUUCCUCUGUUGUCCAAAGCUAAUAGACCAUUUCCGUAUUUCAAUCAAAUUUAAUGCAUACAUUUUUGUGUAGUGCCAUGGUACAUAUUAUUUCAUUUGCCUGUUAUGUUAUAUAUUAUUGUAUUUCAAUAGUCAGAAUGCGACAUGCAUACUUCAGUGCAUUAACUUUUGUUUAGUUUCACUGGUUAUGAGGCGUGAUAUAUGCAUAAAUACAUUUUAACUAAAUAUAUCUGAAAAGUUGUGGUUUAUCCUAAAGGGAAAUGGCGCAUAUAAUAAUGCAUUAUAUAUCCCAAGCACAAAUAGUUACUAAUUCAUAAACAUGUUGCCAUAUGUUGUUUUCUUCACACCCAAGCACUCGAGUUUACUUCUGUUAAUAAAAUGUACGGGUAAAUAUAAAACGUGAUAGACUAUACUCUCAUUGAUUGCAUGUCCUAGAUCACUAUCGACCUUCACAUACACAUCUUCUGUACAGAUUGUUUAUUACACAACUCUGUGGUUAUACUUCUUUGUGUGAUUAAUAUCUUUUUAUUAAGAUACUAUUUAUAAAUACGGAUACGGUGAAAGCAUGAUAACUAUUUUUAAAUUGGAAAUAAAACUGUUUUUACUUGAA